GGGGGGGGGGAAGGGGAGGACGCUCUCGGUCUCCUAGUCCCGGCCCGAGCCUCUGGAGUUAGCCAUGCUCAUACCCCGGCGCGGGAAAGCGGCACCCCAGUGCGGGUAGCUUUAGCCCCGGAAAUGGGUUGAGAAUUAGACACCGAGCCGACGCCCACAUACGUAGCAGCGUUGCAGCCCGGGAGGGUGGGCGGUACCCCCAGGUCGGUCAUCCGCGGGUGGGCGCCGGGCGCCGACCCCCUUCGCCAUCACCAGCCCCGGAGUGGCGACUGCAGAGGUUCAUCCCGCUACCGGGAAGCGGGGACCACAUCUUCCUUUGGGGAUGGUGGUCUGUGCCGGGUCUUAGUUGCAACACGCAGGAUCUUCGUCGCGGCAUGCAUGCAGGAUCUAGUUCCCCAACGAGGGAUUGAACCAGGGCCGCUGCAUUGAGAGCUCGGAGUCUUGCCCACUGGACCACCAGGCAACUGGGUGCGAGCUGCAUUGUCUCAGUGGCUUUCCAAAGGAGACUGACGGACCUACUCCAUAAAUACUGACUGGAAGCCAGAUUACCAGUUAUCAUUAUCACUAUAGAAAAAGAGUGGCAGGGAGGCAUGGAGCCAACUGGACUGUGAGCCUGUGAAACUGUUGCAGGAAAGAAAGUGGGGUGCAAGAGGAUGACCACAUCCCAGGUCUCAGGCAAGUCCCUGGAUGGGUGCCAAGUGUGGGUUCUUGGCUUUGUGCAGGAAAGAAUUCAAGAGUGAGCCAUAGUAAAGUGAAAGAAGGUUUAUUCAGGGAAAUACACACUCCAUAGACAGAGUGUGGGCCAUCUCAGAAGGCGAGAGGCCCCAGGAUACAGGAUUGUCAGUUUUUAUAGUGGUGGGUAAUUUCAUAGGCUAAUGAGUGGGAUGAUUUUUCCAACAAUUUGGGGGAAGCGGCGGAGAUUUCCAGGAAUUGGGCCACCGCCCUCUUUUUGGCCUUUUAUGGUGGGCCUUGGAACUGUCAUGGCACUGGUGGGUGUGUCAUUUAGAUGCUAAUGUAUUACAACGAGCACAUAAGCAGGCUCAAGGUCUAGUGGAAGUCGACUCAUCCACCAUCUUGGACCUAGUUGGUUCUAAACAGUUUAUAUUGUGUCCUCAACAGCUGUGUCAUUCUUUUAAAGGUUGUGCCCUGCCCCCUUCCUGUCUUAAAAUGUUGGUCCUGUUAUUUGAAAUACUCACCUGUCUCUAGAUCAGAGACCAACAUUUUUAUUCGGCAUCACUUCCAAGUAAUUAGGAUAGUCCAUUAAACAUAUCCUAAGAACCUUUUAUUUCCAAGGAUUAAAUGAGUCUGAUUUGACUGUUUAGUAGAGGUCUUGAUAACUGUACAGAGUAUUGACAAAAACAGUUGGGAAAGGUGAAGGUAAUAGAAAUUUAUCUCUUUCUUUUACUGAGAAGUAAGGAAAAGAGUAUUUAUUGAGUAUCUAGAUUGUACCAGUAGCUCUUUUAGAUGAGCUCAUUUAUGCACUGAAUUUUCAGAGUUAUAAUUACCAUGCUACCUGCCAAGAAACCACGGCUCAGAAAAAAUAGAUGACUUACUCAAGGUCACACAGCUAGUGAAAGUAAACUACAGAGUCUGGAUUCAACCCAGACCUUUCUAAUUCUUUUCUUUUUAAUAUAAAUUUAUUUUUAUUUAUAUUAUUUAUUUUUGGCUGCAUUGGGUCUUCGUUGCUGCUCACGGGCUUUCUCUAGUUGUGGCGAGCAGGGGCUACUCUUCAUUGCA
Long non-coding RNA from Balaenoptera acutorostrata (minke whale), 1737 nucleotides. RefSeq lists it as uncharacterized. The transcript is spliced from 4 exons. The record is from RefSeq and is a predicted model, not a curated record. Lineage: Eukaryota; Metazoa; Chordata; Mammalia; Artiodactyla; Balaenopteridae.